GACUUGUAUAUAUAUGGUGGAGGGGGUGAUGGGGAUGGUGGUGGUGGGGACUUGUAAAUAUAUGGAGGUGGUGGAGAUGGGGAUGGUGGUGGUGGUGACUUGUAGACAUAUGGAGGAGGAGGUGAAGGGGAUGGAGGUGGUGGUGACUUGUAAACAUAAGGUGGGGGAGGUGAGGGUGAUGGUGGAGGAGGAGACUUGUAGACAUAUGGAGGUGGUGGUGAUGGAGAGGGUGGUGGUGGACUCUUAUAGACAUAUGGUGGGGGAGGUGAAGGAGAUGGAGGAGGUGGUGACUUGUAGACAUAUGGAGGAGGAG
Molecule: long non-coding RNA, 313 nt
Filed under: Medicago truncatula (barrel medic)
Lineage: Eukaryota; Viridiplantae; Streptophyta; Magnoliopsida; Fabales; Fabaceae
Description: long non-coding RNA (MTRU_LNC001936)
Source: RNAcentral